Molecule: ribosomal RNA, 497 nt
Filed under: uncultured bacterium
Lineage: Bacteria
Description: partial 16S ribosomal RNA
Rfam family: Bacterial small subunit ribosomal RNA
Source: RNAcentral
GAUGAACGCUGGCGGCGUGCCUAAUACAUGCAAGUCGAGCGAACAGACGAGGAGCUUGCUCCUCUGACGUUAGCGGCGGACGGGUGAGUAACACGUGGAUAACCUACCUAUAAGACUGGGAUAACUUCGGGAAACCGGAGCUAAUACCGGAUAAUAUAUUGAACCGCAUGGUUCAAUAGUGAAAGACGGCUGUGCUGUCACUUAUAGAUGGAUCCGCGCCGCAUUAGCUAGUUGGUAAGGUAACGGCUUACCAAGGCAACGAUGCGUAACCGACCUGAGAGAGUGAUCGGCCACACUGGAACUGAGACACGGUCCAGACUCCUACGAGAGGCAGCAGUAGGGAAUCUUCCGCAAUGGGCGAAAGCCUGACGGAGCAACGCCGCGUGAGUGAUGAAGGUCUUCGGAUCGUAAAACUCUGUUAUUAGGGAAGAACAAAUGUGUAAGUAACUAUGCACGUCUUGACGGUACCUAAUCAGAAAGCCACGGCUAACUACGUG